Molecule: ribosomal RNA, 253 nt
Filed under: uncultured bacterium
Lineage: Bacteria
Description: partial 16S ribosomal RNA
Rfam family: Bacterial small subunit ribosomal RNA
Source: RNAcentral
UACAGAGAGUGCGAACGUUGCUCGGAAUUACUGGGCGUAAAGCGCAUGUAGGCGGAUCGAUAAGUCGGGCGUGAAAUCCCCAGGCUCAACCUGGGAACUGCGCUCGAAACUGUAGGUCUUGAGUGUCGAAGAGGAUGGCGGAAUUCCUGAUGUAGAGGUGAAAUUCGUAGAUAUCGAGAGGAACACCGGUGGCGAAGGCGGCCUUCUGGACAGACACUGACGCUGAUACGCGAAAGCGCGGGGAUCAAACAGG